Non-coding RNA from Ictidomys tridecemlineatus (thirteen-lined ground squirrel), 1042 nucleotides. The record is from RefSeq and is a predicted model, not a curated record. Lineage: Eukaryota; Metazoa; Chordata; Mammalia; Rodentia; Sciuridae.
GGGAGCGCCACUGCUUGAGCCACAUCCCCAUCCCAAGGGUAUUUAUCCUCUGAUGCUCAAGAACUCCAGAGCCACGAACACUGAGUAUAGAAAGCCACACCUGAAUGGACAAGAAUCUGUGGAAAAUGAAGUUUUACCAGGAUAGGAGUCCUGAUGAAAGAAGAGUGUUUUCAGGUCCCAGUGUGGUUUCUGAUGAAAAACAAAAGGAAGGUACUGAAGUCUGAGCUAGUGGCAAAACUGCCACCCUGAGGACAUCCUUUGAAGAAGCCCCACCCCCUAAGCCCAUCCAUCAGCCUAGGAGCUGAUCGAGGCAGGACCCACUGGGUGCCUGAAGUCCCAUUAACAAUCUAGGCUGCCCAGUCUGUUGGUCUAAGGCCAGAAGAGAGCAAAGCAGCAUAAAUGCUGUGGCCUAGUGUAGAACAUGGAGCAUUAGGGACAGCAGGACUGAGCUUAUAAGUGCCACCGCUGUCCUGUCCUCCUGUUGUCACACACCUGCAACGAGGGAUUAUACAGUAUUCAGUCUUGAGACACCUGAACCCUUCUGGGAGAGCUGCGUCUACUGUAGGCCUCCCGCUGGUCCCACCAGGCCUAGUACCUGGGUCUGCAUCUGGAGUAGGACUCCAGGGACCCUGGGACGGAAGCGGAAGUGAGUCAGGCACACAACCCAGUGUCCUGCUGCCUACAUUCCCUCUUCCCCAUGACCUUGGUGUAAACAUUUUCUACUCCUUCCUAGGCAAGCAAACCUGAGCUUUGUCAUCCGAGAGCCCAAGACAAUGGGAUACCAUGAGGAACCACCAGAGAAGAAGGCUGAGUGAAGAACAGACAUGGGAAGAGGUGGUCACGUGGAAAGAUAUCUUCUAUCAUGGGAAGUACAGGGCAGGAGGAAAACAGUACAUGUCAACCUCCACAGGAGGGCUCACAUCUACCAGUGGAUGGGGCACUCCAGGAUCCACAAGCGUUAUAUAGUGAGUGACAGAAACCUGUUUUUACUUAUUUUUUUUAACAUUUAUUUUUUAUUUUUUACUUGUGGGUGUACACGAUA